UUUGAGCGACCCCAGCCACAGUGGGCGGUCGCGGUCCUGGCCGUAGGUCGCCAGCAGCGCGUGUGCCUC
Molecule: non-coding RNA, 69 nt
Organism: Saccharomonospora xinjiangensis XJ-54
Lineage: Bacteria; Bacillati; Actinomycetota; Actinomycetes; Pseudonocardiales; Pseudonocardiaceae
Source: Rfam